Molecule: ribosomal RNA, 491 nt
Filed under: uncultured bacterium
Lineage: Bacteria
Description: partial 16S ribosomal RNA
Rfam family: Bacterial small subunit ribosomal RNA
Source: RNAcentral
AGUGAACGCUGGCGGUAGGCCUAACACAUGCAAGUCGAACGGCAGCACAGUAAGAGCUUGCUCUUACGGGUGGCGAGUGGCGGACGGGUGAGGAAUACAUCGGAAUCUACUUUUUCGUGGGGGAUAACGUAGGGAAACUUACGCUAAUACCGCAUACGACCUACGGGUGAAAGCAGGGGAUCUUCGGACCUUGCGCGAUUGAAUGAGCCGAUGUCGGAUUAGCUAGUUGGCGGGGUAAAGGCCCACCAAGGCGACGAUCCGUAGCUGGUCUGAGAGGAUGAUCCGCCACACUGGAACUGAGACACGGUCCAGACUCCUACGGGAGGCAGCAGUGGGGAAUAUUGGACAGUGGGCGCAAGCCUGAUCCAGCCAUACCGCGUGGGUGAAGAAGGCCUUCGGGUUGUAAAGCCCUUUUGUUGGGAAAGAAAAGCAGCAGGUUAAUACCCCGCUGUUCUGACGGUACCCAAAGAAUAAGCACCGGCUAACUUCGU